CCUACGGGUGGCAGCAGUAGGGAAUAUUGCUCAAUGGGGAAACCCUGAAGCAGCAACGCCGCGUUGAGGGUGAAGGUUUUAGGGUUGUAACCUCCUUUUGUUAGAGAAGGUUAUAACGGUAUCUAACGAAUAAGCCCCGGCUAACUCCGUGCCAGCAGCCGCGGUCAUACGGUGGGUGCAAGCGUUCCUCCGAAUCACGUGGCGUAAAGAGUGCGUAGGGGGGGGAAGAAGUCAGAUGUGAAAUCCUGUAGCUUAACUACAGACCUGCAUGUGAAAUUGUGACUCUGGAGUGUGGGAGGGGUAGGUGGAAUUCUGGGGGUAGGGGUAAAAUCCGUAGAGAUCAAGAGGAAUACUCAUGGCGAAGGCGACCUGCUGGAAAAUUACUGACGCUGAUGUACGAAAGCGUGGGGAGCAAACAGGAUUAGAUACCCCAGUAGUC
RNAcentral lists this ribosomal RNA (439 nucleotides) under uncultured bacterium. RNAcentral describes it as "partial 16S ribosomal RNA". It matches the Rfam family "Bacterial small subunit ribosomal RNA", at positions 338 to 795 of the family's 1533-position model. The record is from RNAcentral.